CUUGCAAUUUCCAGCACAAAGAUUUAUAAUGCAAUCGCCGCUUUGCGGUGAUGAUUCUGAACAUUAUGCGGAAUAGUCGUUUUGGACUGGGGGGCGGUACCCCACAGCUCCACCAUUAUUAUAUUUUUAUUUUAUGGGGCUGACAUAGUUUCGACAGACGCAAUAAAGGCAUUAAUUUGAAUCCGACAUGGUUGUCGUUAAACACUAAAACAAAAACUGAAUGGCGAUAAUUUCGCUGCGAACGACAAUGUUCGCCUUGCAAUGGCUGCUUAAUAUAGCGUUGAUAUAAUUGGCGAUUGUUGAUUAUAUCGUUUUAGUUAUUGCGGGGUUCGCCGGGUACCUGGCACCAGAAACC
Molecule: transfer-messenger RNA, 355 nt
Filed under: bovine gut metagenome
Description: Alphaproteobacteria transfer-messenger RNA
Rfam family: Alphaproteobacteria transfer-messenger RNA
About the family: Bacterial tmRNA, also known as 10Sa RNA or SsrA, is named for its dual tRNA and mRNA-like properties. Its role is to liberate the mRNA from a stalled ribosome.
Source: RNAcentral